RNAcentral lists this ribosomal RNA (484 nucleotides) under uncultured bacterium. RNAcentral describes it as "partial 16S ribosomal RNA". It matches the Rfam family "Bacterial small subunit ribosomal RNA", at positions 30 to 507 of the family's 1533-position model. The record is from RNAcentral.
AUUGAACGCUGGCGGCAGGCCUAACACAUGCAAGUCGAGCGGAUGAAGGGAGCUUGCUCCUGGAUUCAGCGGCGGACGGGUGUGUAAUGCCUAGGAAUCUGCCUGGUAGUGGGGGAUAACGUCCGGAAACGGGCGCUAAUACCGCAUACGUCCUGAGGGAGAAAGUGGGGGAUCUUCGGACCUCACGCUAUCAGAUGAGCCUAGGUCGGAUUAGCUAGUUGGUGGGGUAAAGGCCUACCAAGGCGACGAUCCGUAACUGGUCUGAGAGGAUGAUCAGUCACACUGGAACUGAGACACGGUCCAGACUCCUACGGGAGGCAGCAGUGGGGAAUAUUGGACAAUGGGCGAAAGCCUGAUCUAGCCAUGCCGCGUGUGUGAAGAAGGUCUUCGGAUUGUAAAGCACUUUAAGUUGGGAGGAAGGGCAGUAAGUUAAUACCUUGCUGUUUUGACGUUACCAACAGAAUAAGCACCGGCUAACUUCGUG